UACGAAGGUCCCGAGCGUUAUUCGGAAUCACUGGGCGUAAAGAGUAUGUAGGCGGCGUGGAAAGUCAGGUGUGAAAGCCCGGGGCUCAACCCCGGAACGGCACCCGAUACUCCCACGCUAGAGUAAUGGAGGGGAGUCUGGAAUUCACGGUGUAGCAGUGAAAUGCGUGGAUAUCGUGAGGAACACUAGUGGCGAAGGCGAGACUCUGGACAUUUACUGACGCUGAGAUACGAAGGCUAGGGUAGCGAACGGG
Molecule: ribosomal RNA, 253 nt
Filed under: bacterium
Lineage: Bacteria
Also listed under: 1 other name
Description: partial 16S ribosomal RNA
Rfam family: Bacterial small subunit ribosomal RNA
Source: RNAcentral